This is a long non-coding RNA of Pezoporus occidentalis (night parrot), 1018 nucleotides long. RefSeq lists it as uncharacterized. Lineage: Eukaryota; Metazoa; Chordata; Aves; Psittaciformes; Psittacidae. The transcript has 3 exons. The record is from RefSeq and is a predicted model, not a curated record.
AUGUGGGAGCAAUGCCUGCUGAGAGCAACAGCACUUUGCAGCCGCUCACAGCAAUCCUGUAUUUCUUCUAUAGGAGAAAAAUACUGUUUUUCCAGGAGAAGGAAUGCUUCCACAGGAGCACAUGCUGCUAGGUGAGCACCAGCAACAUCACAUGGACCAUUUAUCUCACACCCAGCACAAACAUCAGAGGCAAGAGAGCUUUGGCUGUCUGCAGUUGACUCGGGAUGUGUCUGUGAUCUACAGAUGGAAACAGGGAAUUCCAUUCUUUCUCCUGCAAGAGUCUGGCAGGAGAUGUCUGCCCUCUAAUAAGAAGCCCAGGAGCUAAUUGAAGAUGAGGGGAAAAAAAAAGCUUUAAAGGAAGAAUAAAGUUAAUAAAGGGUGGACAGGAAGAGGGGAGACUGUGCUUGCUCAGCCAAUCUUGCUCUUGUGCCCCUAUGUGUUAUCUUCUGCACUGGGAAUAUUGAACUAGGGGCCAGCUGCAUUGCCCUGGCCCCGUGGCAUGGUGCUCGCUGUGUGCAGCUCCUUCUGAUGCUCUGUCCCCUGUGACCAAAAUGCAUCAGGGACUGAGAAAAUACAGCCUCUGGGCAUUUGCACUGGCAUCAGGAGGAGCCAUGCUUGCUGCCUCUGCCAAGCUGCUGCCACUGUGUACCAAAUUGCCCGUGUAAUUCUGCCCCUUGUGCAGCAGACGAGAAAUGGGCUUGAUCUGAGCCUGUUCUUCUCAUCUGAAUUCAUUCAGAUAGCAGAAUUAAUCUGCAAUUGUGUAUAAUUAACUUCUCCCAGGGUGCUUUUGAGAUGAGACCUGAUAAGUCAGUGUUGCGCAUUGUAUUAUGGACAUUUCCAUCUGGAUAUGCCCUGUUGUGUCCUCCUGCUCUCAAAUGUUGUAGUCUGGACUCAGUUCUGUAAUCUCGGUUCAUAUGCAAAAAGGUGAGUUCACACCUGACUCUCUGGCUCUCUACUUUUGUGUACAAGUGUAGCGUUCCCAGUUUACUCCUGCAGGUUUAAUACCAGCCCUGGUUUG